AGCAGUAGCCACGGUAAUACGUAGGUGGCGAGCGUUGUCCGGAAUCAUUGGGCGUAAAGCGAGCGCAGGCGGUUAGAUAAGUCUGAAGUUAAAGGCUGUGGCUUAACCAUAGUACGCUUUGGAAACUGUUUAACUUGAGUGCAAGAGGGGAGAGUGGAAUUCCAUGUGUAGCGGUGAAAUGCGUAGAUAUAUGGAGGAACACCGGUGGCGAAAGCGGCUCUCUGGCUUGUAACUGACGCUGAGGCUCGAAAGCGUGGGACGCAAACAGGAUUAGAUACCCGAGUAGUCCCUGUCUCUUAUACA
RNAcentral lists this ribosomal RNA (303 nucleotides) under uncultured bacterium. Its description in RNAcentral is "partial 16S ribosomal RNA". It matches the Rfam family "Bacterial small subunit ribosomal RNA", at positions 507 to 808 of the family's 1533-position model. The record is from RNAcentral.